AUUUUGCUUUCGAUCGCGUUGUAGAAUGGCGCUGUAGCCAGCCCGUAGGUGAGGAAUGCCUGGACACCCUGGGCCAGAUCUCUAUCUUGAUUGUGGAGACUUUGUUUCCUGACCAGCUGGAGGU
Molecule: non-coding RNA, 124 nt
Organism: Echinops telfairi (small Madagascar hedgehog)
Lineage: Eukaryota; Metazoa; Chordata; Mammalia; Afrosoricida; Tenrecidae
Source: Rfam